AAGUUGUUUCUCUCUCUAUGCUCUUUGUCGCCGUCUCCAAGUCCUUUUGCAAAAUUUUCUUUUUCUUUUGCCGACGAAGCUGCAGAGAUGAAACAGGAUUCGGACCAAGCAGCAUCAACCAACAACAAUUAUUAUUUGUAUUUGGAUUGUUGGGUAAAAGCUUUGCAGAUAGCCAAACGAAUCUAUCUUUUGGCUUGGCUGAACUUAAAGAUAGCUUACGGACCUGAUUCUCAUCACGUGGAAAAGCAUACGUUUUAAGAACUCAGUUUCGGAUAUGUUGAUUUGGAGGCGAUAGCUAUACAAUAGGUCAAGAGUACAAUUAAAGACAGGUGUUGACAUUGUUGUUAGAAUCCUUGGUCGUAUGAAGGUACGUCUCUCUCUCUCUCUCUCUCUCUCUCUCUCUCUCUCUCUCUUUUUACUCCAGUGGAUGUAAAGGAAGAUAGCGGGUUAGAGUUUUGAGAAGAUGAUGUUCAACAUAAUCAUCACAUGAUGAUCUCUCUUCUGGGUUUGUAAAUUAGAAGGAUUUAUUUAUACGUGGCCAUGAGAAGCCAUCUUCUUGAGAACACACUAUGGAUCUACCAACUGAUUCGCUAGGCCAAGAUGAAAUGGGAGCUGAGUAUGUUUUUGGAAGUCAACACCAUCCACAUCUCUUAUAGUUGAUAAUAAGAGCACUGAUGGGCACUUCUUACGCAUUCAUUUCAACAUCAGAAUAGGUUGAAUAUAAUAACAAAAAGAAUUUGCAACAAUUCAUAGGCUCCAAUGAUAGUGACACGUUUGAAGCAUCUAACAAGAUGAAUGGGUAAGACCUUCUUUGGCGAUCGAUCUUCUCUUAGCCUUCUACUUUCAGAAUUGACUGCUUACUAUGUUGGUCAGUUGGUGGCAAUCGAUGAACACAGAAUUGCAGUUCAAGGCUUUGUGUGGAGUAUCAAUUCGUUUGACCAGUGGAGAGUUAAUCUAGGAACAGUUUUAUCUUCCGCUCUUCAUCUUCCUCUGAAUCUUAAAGUAGCUGCUGAAGCUGAGAAUUUACUAACAAAGUCUAUGUCCACUCUAGACACUUUUUAGCUUAAAGAAUGCCAUGUUCUUGCUCAGAAACAACAAACCAAACAAUUAUAGCUGAUUUGAGCCUUUUGUGAGAAUUUUAUCAUUGUGCUUAUCAAAAGAUAAAUUAGAUUUACAUUGUCAGGCUAUGUGUUUUCGUUAUAUGCAUUUUCCUAGAUUUUGAUCUGUU
Molecule: long non-coding RNA, 1228 nt
Organism: Camelina sativa (false flax)
Lineage: Eukaryota; Viridiplantae; Streptophyta; Magnoliopsida; Brassicales; Brassicaceae
Product: glucose-6-phosphate isomerase, cytosolic 2B
Source: RefSeq, a predicted model, not a curated record